Molecule: ribosomal RNA, 497 nt
Filed under: uncultured bacterium
Lineage: Bacteria
Description: partial 16S ribosomal RNA
Rfam family: Bacterial small subunit ribosomal RNA
Source: RNAcentral
GAUGAACGCUGGCGGCGUGCCUAAUACAUGCAAGUCGAGCGAACGGACGAGAAGCUUGCUUUUCUGAUGUUAGCGGCGGACGGGCGAGUAACACGUGGAUAACCUACCUAUAAGACUGGGAUAAUUUCGGGAAACCGGAGCUAAUACCGGAUAAUAUUUUGAACCGCAUGGUUCAAAAGUGAAAGACGGCCUUCCCGCUACUUAUAGACGGUUCCGCGCUGCAUUAGCUAGUUGGUAAGGUAACGGCUUACCAAGGCAACGAUGCAUAGCCGACCUGAGAGGGUGAUCGGCCACACUGGAACUGAGACACGGUCCAGACUCCUACGGGAGGCAGCAGUAGGGAAUCUUCCGCAAUGGGCGAAAGCCUGACGGAGCAACGCCGCGUGAGUGAUGAAGGUCUUCGGAUCGUAAAACCCUGUUAUUAGGGAAGAACAUAUGUGUAAGUAACUGUGCACAUCUUGACGGUACCUAAUCAGAAAGCCACGGCUAACUACGUG